UCUGUGCCCCUACUUCCCAG
RNAcentral lists this microRNA (20 nucleotides) under Homo sapiens (human). RNAcentral's name for it is "hsa-miR-6889-3p". Lineage: Eukaryota; Metazoa; Chordata; Mammalia; Primates; Hominidae. The record is from miRBase by way of RNAcentral.